GAACGCACAUUGCGCCCACUGGUAUUCCAUUGGGCAUACCUGUUUUAGUGUCAGAAUCCUUCCAAUUAUCACACUUUUAUAUAUCUAUAUAUGUAAAGAUGUUUGGACUUUUAUUGAGAAGAGUAGUAUUAUUAUAAUAUUACUUUCUUAAAAACCAGAAAUAUUUUGUUUUGGUUUUCUUCCAACUCAUUUUGUAUUUAAUAUAACAAAUGAGUGUGAAUGUUAACAAACAAACAAUAAUAAUACCUUUGGAUGACCUCAAAGCAGGUAGGACUACCCGCUGAACUGA
Molecule: unclassified non-coding RNA, 289 nt
Filed under: uncultured Pezizaceae
Lineage: Eukaryota; Fungi; Ascomycota; Pezizomycetes; Pezizales; Pezizaceae
Description: sequence contains 5.8S rRNA gene
Rfam family: 5.8S ribosomal RNA (bases 1-53)
Source: RNAcentral